Molecule: ribosomal RNA, 107 nt
Filed under: uncultured eukaryote
Lineage: Eukaryota
Description: partial 16S ribosomal RNA
Rfam family: Bacterial small subunit ribosomal RNA
Source: RNAcentral
GAGGGAAGACGGCCUAUGGGUUGUAAACCUCUUUUUUCAGGGAGGAAUCAAUGACGUGUACCUGAAGAAUAAGCAUCGGCUAACUCCGUGCCAGCAGCCGCGGUAAU